This 851-nucleotide ribosomal RNA is filed under the name uncultured marine bacterium. RNAcentral's name for it is "bacterial SSU rRNA". It matches the Rfam family "Bacterial small subunit ribosomal RNA", at positions 31 to 865 of the family's 1533-position model. The record is from RNAcentral.
UUUUGCCAGCGGGGCUAGAAGCAGUCGUAGGAAGGCCCCCUUCGGGGGGUACUCGAGUGGCGCACGGGUGAGUAACGCGUGGGUAAUCUGCCUUUGGGUCUGGGACAACUUCGGGAAACUGGAGCUAAUACCGGAUAAGACCACGAGCCCUUCGGGGCUUGCGGAAAAAGAUGGCCUCUUCUUGAAAGCUAUCGCCUAUCGAUGAGCCCGCGUCUGAUUAGCUUGUUGGUGAGGUAACGGCUCACCAAGGCAUCGAUCAGUAGCUGGUCUGAGAGGAUGAUCAGCCACACUGGAACUGAGACACGGUCCAGACUCCUACGGGAGGCAGCAGUCGGGAAUCUUGGGCAAUGGGCGAAAGCCUGACCCAGCAACGCCGCGUGAGGGAUGAAGGCCCUCGGGUCGUAAACCUCUGUCGGGAGGGAAGAACGGUAGCCUUUCAAAUAGGUGGGCUGCCUGACGGUACCUCCAAAGGAAGCACCGGCUAACUCCGUGCCAGCAGCCGCGGUAAUACGGAGGGUGCGAGCGUUGUUCGGAAUCAUUGGGCGUAAAGCGCGUGUAGGCGGCUUGGCAAGUCGGAUGUGAAAUCCCGGGGCCCAACCCCGGAACUGCAUUCGAAACUGCCUCGCUAGAGUCCCGGAGAGGAUGGCGGAAUUCCCGGUGUAGAGGUGAAAUUCGUGGAUAUCGGGAGGAACACCAGUGGCGAAGGCGGCCAUCUGGACGGUGACUGACGCUGAGACGCGAAAGCGUGCGGAGCAAACAGGAUUAGAUACCCUGGUAGUCCACGCCGUAAACGUUGUGUGCUAGGUGUCGCGGGUAUUGACCCCUGCGGUGCCGUCGUUAACGCAUUUAGC